GGCUAAUGAUGAAGAAAUUUGUCCGUACCAUCCGAGACAAUCUGUCGUUGAUGUUUAACCUCUAGCUUCCUGAGGCCA
Non-coding RNA from Picea glauca (white spruce), 78 nucleotides. Lineage: Eukaryota; Viridiplantae; Streptophyta; Pinopsida; Pinales; Pinaceae. The record is from Rfam.